Molecule: unclassified non-coding RNA, 421 nt
Filed under: Hevea brasiliensis (rubber tree)
Lineage: Eukaryota; Viridiplantae; Streptophyta; Magnoliopsida; Malpighiales; Euphorbiaceae
Source: RNAcentral
GUAUUGCAUCUGAUAUCUAGAAAGUAACAUAAUAAGCUCAGGACAAGAAUCCAGCAAGUCUCAAAAUUGUGAUGCCAUUUGCUCCCCAAGUUUUCUCAUUUAUUGUUCAAAUAUGAUAGAGAACCAAACCAGUACAGACACACACUUGAACAGCGUGCUCUCACUUCACAGUGUAUUUCUGAUCCCAGAAUUUCAUCAAAAUUCAUUUCAAAGCAGUCAAACACCAUGUCCAAGCUAAAAGCAUCUAGAUCCAGAAAUUUCAUCUGAAUAUGCUUUCGAGCUAGACAGAACAUGUAAAAAGGUAUAAAGUAGUAGUGUAGUACUCAUUCAAUCUAGAAUCAUUAAUUAAAGUACAACACUUUAUAAACAAUAUAGUGAUGGAUCUCUCUUAGGUUGCACACAUUAGAGAUGAUGUACCUGA